This 376-nucleotide unclassified non-coding RNA is filed under the name soil metagenome. RNAcentral describes it as "partial contains 5.8S ribosomal RNA, internal transcribed spacer 2, and large subunit ribosomal RNA". The stretch from base 1 to 120 matches the Rfam family "5.8S ribosomal RNA", at positions 35 to 154 of the family's 154-position model. The record is from RNAcentral.
GAUGAAGAACGUAGCGAAAUGCGAUAAGUAAUGUGAAUUGCAGAAUUCAGUGAAUCAUCGAAUCUUUGAACGCAUCUUGCGCUCCUUAGUAUUCUGAGGAGCAUGCCUGUUUGAGUGUCAUUAAAUUCUCAACUACACUGACUUUGAAUUGGUGUGGCUUGGAUUUGGGGGGAAAAUUGUUGUGGGCUUUUUGUAUAGUCUGCUCCCCUGAAAUUGAUUAGCGGUACCUUUGUGGAACUGUCUACAGGUGUGAUAAUUAUCUACAUCUUAGACAUCUGCUGGAAUGCUGCUUUCUAAACCUUACUUGUAUUGACAAUCUUGACCUCAAAUCAGGUAGGACUACCCGCUGAACUUAAGCAUAUCAAUAAGCGGAGGA